AAUAGAUACCCGGGUAGUCCACGCCGUAAACGAUGAGUGCUAGGUGUUGGGGGGACCCCCCUCAGUGCCGCAGGUAACCCAAUAAGCACUCCGCCUGGGGAGUACGGUCGCAAGACUGAAACUCAAAGGAAUUGACGGGGGCCCGCACAAGCGGUGGAGCAUGUGGUUUAAUUCGAAGCAACGCGAAGAACCUUACCAGGGCUUGACAUCCUGCUGACCGGUGUAGAGAUAUGCCUUUCCCCUUCGGGGGACAGCGGUGACAGGUGGUGCAUGGUUGUCGUCAGCUCGUGUCGUGAGAUGUUGGGUUCAGUCCCGCAACGAGCGCAACCCUUGUUUCUAGUUGCCAGCACUUCGGGUGGGCACUCUAGAGAGACAGCCGGUGAAAGCCGGAGGAAGGUGGGGAUGACGUCAAAUCAUCAUGCCCCUUAUGUCCUGGGCUACACACGUGCUACAAUGGCUGGUACAAAGGGCAGCGAACCCGGCGAGGGGGGAGCCAAUCCCAAAAAACCAGUCUCAGUUCGGAUUGCAGGCUGCAACUCG
Molecule: ribosomal RNA, 540 nt
Filed under: uncultured bacterium
Lineage: Bacteria
Description: bacterial SSU rRNA
Rfam family: Bacterial small subunit ribosomal RNA
Source: RNAcentral